This 299-nucleotide unclassified non-coding RNA is filed under the name uncultured fungus. RNAcentral's name for it is "partial contains small subunit ribosomal RNA, internal transcribed spacer 1, and 5.8S ribosomal RNA". The stretch from base 1 to 73 matches the Rfam family "Eukaryotic small subunit ribosomal RNA", at positions 1759 to 1831 of the family's 1831-position model. The record is from RNAcentral. Lineage: Eukaryota; Fungi.
GCAAACUUGGUCAUUUAGAGGAAGUAAAAGUCGUAACAAGGUUUCCGUAGGUGAACCUGCGGAAGGAUCAUUACAAAUCAAAAUUGGAGAAUAAAUCAGUUUUAAAAAGUUAAUGGGUAAAGUUAUAUUUACCAUCAAUUUUGACAAACACUGGUUUAUUUUACAACAUAUGCACGGAGUUUGUAAAAGAACUCUGAUGUUUACGCUUGUUUUGUUUGACAGAUAAUAAUGUGACUUUUAAAAUAAUGACAACUUUUAACAAUGGAUCUCUUGGCUCUUGCAUCGAUGAAGAACGCAGC